This 66-nucleotide ribosomal RNA is filed under the name Akanthomyces dipterigenus. RNAcentral's name for it is "Lecanicillium longisporum partial 28S ribosomal RNA". The record is from RNAcentral. Lineage: Eukaryota; Fungi; Ascomycota; Sordariomycetes; Hypocreales; Cordycipitaceae.
CGUUGACCUCGGAUCAGGUAGGAAUACCCGCUGAACUUAAGCAUAUCUAAAGGCGGGAAAGAAACC